GGCUGACAGAAGGGAAACUUCUGCUUUAAGAUGGAGCAGCUUGGGGAAAAUGGAUUGAGCUCCAGGAGAAAGGAGAGCCUGGAAUGAGGCCUCAGAUGUCUGCAGCUCUGAAAAGCUGUGAGAGGAACCCCCA
RNAcentral lists this long non-coding RNA (133 nucleotides) under Coturnix japonica (Japanese quail). RNAcentral describes it as "lncRNA (ENSCJPG00005018579.1)". The record is from RNAcentral. Lineage: Eukaryota; Metazoa; Chordata; Aves; Galliformes; Phasianidae.